RNAcentral lists this ribosomal RNA (402 nucleotides) under uncultured bacterium. RNAcentral's name for it is "bacterial SSU rRNA". It matches the Rfam family "Bacterial small subunit ribosomal RNA", at positions 355 to 773 of the family's 1533-position model. The record is from RNAcentral.
UGAGGAAUCUUGCGCAAUGGGGGCAACCCUGACGCAGCAACGCCGCGUGGGUGAAGAAGGCCUUCGGGUUGUAAAGCACUUUUUGCAGGGAUGAGGAAGGACAGUACCUGUAGAAUAAGCCUCGGCUAACUACGUGCCAGCAGCCGCGGUAAAACGUAGGAGGCGAGCGUUAUCCGGAUUUACUGGGCGUAAAGCGCGUGUAGGCGGAUUGGUAAGUUAGCUGUGAAAGCUCCUGGCUUAACUGGGAGAGGUCGGUUAAUACUGCUAAUCUAGAGUAUGUGAGAGGGAGUGGAAUUCCGGGUGUAGUGGUGAAACGCGUAGAUAUCCGGAGGAACACCAGAGGCGAAAGCGGCCUCCUGGCACAUCGACUCGAGCUCAGACGCGAAAGCUAGGGUAGCAAAC